This is a long non-coding RNA of Biomphalaria glabrata, 1244 nucleotides long. RefSeq lists it as uncharacterized. The transcript has 2 exons. Lineage: Eukaryota; Metazoa; Mollusca; Gastropoda; Planorbidae. The record is from RefSeq and is a predicted model, not a curated record.
UGGCUUUGUAAAAUUUUUUUUUUAAAUUUACGUUAACAAUUUGACUACACUAUCAGUUGGCCAUCAGUGGUUUCAAUUUCAAAGUUCUUAACUUACGGUGACCUAUUUGCACUUGCUGUAAGCCUGUUCCUUCUGUCAAUGAGUAUACCUUUUAUUUAAAAAAAAAGAAAAAAAAGACUCAAUAGUGAAAACAAGUUUAAAAGGAAUUUCAAUUGAUUUAUUAGUAUUUUGUCUUAUUUAUAGACAAAAGUACUAGGCAGAAUAGGGUUGGUUAAGACUUCAUCAAUAAAAAUUUCCUUUUCUCUUCUGUAACUGUGAUUGUGUUCAUUGUGGACGAUAUGAGAAGUUACGUACUUUUCAUAAUUCUUAUAUUAACUCCGUCAUUUGUAUCAGGAGAGACAUCAAAUAUAAAUGCUGCAAAAAGAUUAGUGACUGUUAAUGAAUCAAAUCAGAAACAAACAAGACUCAUAUAUACUGAAUGUUAUUGGCCAUUUAUGACAUGUGUUGACCAAGGAAAAAGGAACAUUUAAAGACUUGUAAAGAAUAACACAUAUUUGUUUUAUGUAUUCAUUGUUUUUGUUUUUGCAACAAUGUGUUGUAUGCUGCUGUGUAUGUUUCAAGUGAUGUCAAUAAUCGAGAGAUUAUAGUAUGUAAUGGUUUAAAUGCAUAACAUAAUCAUUAUUACAAUACCUUUAUUCAACUUUUAAAUUAGUGAAACUUUUGUGUGAAUGGGUGGAUAGGUGGAACCUGGAUACGGAUCUCAGAAAAGGCUCUAACAAUUUUCCUAGAAUUUUAGCAGUGGAUAUAUAUCGUUGGAAAAAAGAAUUACUAGCUCGUUGGUCACACUGGGAAAACUUUAGUUCGACCGUUGAAAUUGUUUAAAGUAAACAAAUAAAUAAUUUUAAAUUUGGCUAGAGAACGAGAGAAUAUUUAUCCUGAACAUGUUAUGAACGUGUGUUGUAGGGUCAACCAUUGCUGUAAAGAGGAAAUGAGAUCGCGGCCAACUGGUCCAUGUGAAUGUGUGUAGAGGUAUAUGAGGUAUGUAAGACUUGAAUGGCGUUGGUGGUUGGGUUCUUAGAGAGUUUAUCAGAGUUGGAGAUUAGAAAGUUAGUCGAUAGUUGUAAGAGUAGAAACGUUUCAUUGUUAGACUAUGUAAUUAACUUUUUUUGCAUUCAUCUGAUGAUCCACAUGACGUCUAAUUGUAGAUAUGUUAAAUAGUUUAAUAAAGUGUUUUAUCAAGUAUA